GGUUAUCCAUAUUACGGAUGAUUAAAUGCUUGCAAACAAAAAUUAUAUUUUAUACGUAUCAAUCUUAUACGUUCCAACGUGGUAGAAAGUUGAAGAGAGUUUGCCUUUUUUAUAAAAUCCCUCUAUAAAUUAAAUGAGAAGUCACUUUAGUGAUUUCUGCUGACAUGGCAUUCAUAUAGAGUUUCUCAGGAAAAUUGUUAUAAUUAUAUUGGUUGAUUUUUUAGAAUUUUUUUUUUCUUUAUUUUUAAUCAAUCGCUUAUGUAGACAGGUCCAAAACUAUUGUCGAUUUCGUUAAGCCCAUAUAUAGCUAUGGGGAUAAUAAUUAAAAUUUACUUAAUUUAGAUCUAAAAAUUUAAGGUAAGUCUAAAAUCAUUUAACA
Molecule: long non-coding RNA, 379 nt
Filed under: Brassica rapa (field mustard)
Lineage: Eukaryota; Viridiplantae; Streptophyta; Magnoliopsida; Brassicales; Brassicaceae
Description: long non-coding RNA (BRAP_LNC005839)
Source: RNAcentral